UACCCUUGACAUGUCCGAGAGCCUGCUGAAAGGUGGGUGUGCCUGAAAGGGAAUCGGAACACAGGUGCUGCAUGGCUGUCGUCAGCUCGUGUCGUGAGAUGUUGGGUUAAGUCCCGCAACGAGCGCAACCCUUGUCCCUAGUUGCUACGCAAGGGCACUCUAGGGAGACUGCCGGUGACAAACCGGAGGAAGGUGGGGAUGACGUAUAGGAACACCAAC
Molecule: unclassified non-coding RNA, 219 nt
Filed under: uncultured Gammaproteobacteria bacterium
Lineage: Bacteria; Pseudomonadati; Pseudomonadota; Gammaproteobacteria
Description: contains 16S-23S intergenic spacer region
Rfam family: Bacterial small subunit ribosomal RNA
Source: RNAcentral